Molecule: ribosomal RNA, 253 nt
Filed under: uncultured bacterium
Lineage: Bacteria
Description: partial 16S ribosomal RNA
Rfam family: Bacterial small subunit ribosomal RNA
Source: RNAcentral
UACGGAGGGUGCAAGCAUUAUCCGGAUUCACUGGGUUUAAAGGGUGCGUAGGUGGGCAAGUAAGUCAGUGGUGAAAUCUCCGGGCUUAACCCGGAAACUGCCAUUGAUACUAUUUGUCUUGAAUACUGUGGAGGUCAGCGGAAUAUGUCAUGUAGCGGUGAAAUGCUUAGAUAUGACAUAGAACACCAAUUGCGAAGGCAGCUGGCUACACAAAUAUUGACACUGAGGCACGAAAGCGUGGGGAUCAAACAGG